This 496-nucleotide ribosomal RNA is filed under the name uncultured bacterium. RNAcentral's name for it is "partial 16S ribosomal RNA". It matches the Rfam family "Bacterial small subunit ribosomal RNA", at positions 30 to 523 of the family's 1533-position model. The record is from RNAcentral.
AUUGAACGCUGGCGGAAUGCUUUACACAUGCAAGUCGAACAGUAGAGGGGGCAACCCCUCGAGAGUGGCGAACGGGUGAGUAAUAUAUCGGAACGUGCCCAGUCGUGGGGGAUAACGUAGCGAAAGUUACGCUAAUACCGCAUACGAUCUAAGGAUGAAAGCGGGGGAUCGCAAGACCUCGCGCGAUUGGAGCGGCCGAUAACAGAUUAGGUAGUUGGUGGGGUAAAGGCUCACCAAGCCAACGAUCUGUAGCUGGUCUGAGAGGACGACCAGCCACACUGGAACUGAGACACGGUCCAGACUCCUACGGGAGGCAGCAGUGGGGAAUUUUGGACAAUGGACGCAAGUCUGAUCCAGCCAUUCCGCGUGCAGGAUGAAGGCCCUCGGGUUGUAAACUGCUUUUGUACGGAACGAAAAGGUCUCUCUUAAUACGGGGGACUCAUGACGGUACCGUAAGAAUAAGCACCGGCUAACUACGUGCCAGCCGCCGCGGUAA